This 468-nucleotide ribosomal RNA is filed under the name uncultured bacterium. RNAcentral's name for it is "partial 16S ribosomal RNA". It matches the Rfam family "Bacterial small subunit ribosomal RNA", at positions 28 to 507 of the family's 1533-position model. The record is from RNAcentral.
GACGAACGCUGGCGGCGUGCUUAACACAUGCAAGUCGAACGGAAAGGCCCUGCUUUUGUGGGGUGCUCGAGUGGCGAACGGGUGAGUAACACGUGAGUAACCUGCCCUUGACUUUGGGAUAACUUCAGGAAACUGGGGCUACUACCGGAUAGGAGCUCCUGCUGCAUGGUGGGGGUUGGAAAGUUUCGGCGGUUGGGGAUGGACUCGCGGCUUAUCAGCUUGUUGGUGGGGUAGUGGCUUACCAAGGCUUUGACGGGUAGCCGGCCUGAGAGGGUGACCGGGCACAUUGGGACUGAGAUACGGCCCAGACUCCUACGGGAGGCAGCAGUGGGGAAUAUUGCACAAUGGGCGGAAGCCUGAUGCAGCAACGCCGCGUGCGGGAUGACGGCCUUCGGGUUGUAAACCGCUUUCGCCUGUGACGAAGCGUGAGUGACGGUAAUGAGUAAAGAAGCACCGGCUAACUACGUG